This 484-nucleotide ribosomal RNA is filed under the name uncultured bacterium. RNAcentral describes it as "partial 16S ribosomal RNA". It matches the Rfam family "Bacterial small subunit ribosomal RNA", at positions 29 to 507 of the family's 1533-position model. The record is from RNAcentral.
AUUGAACGCUGGCGGAAUGCUUUACACAUGCAAGUCGAGCGGCAGCGCGGCCUUCGGGCUGGCGGCGAGCGGCGAACGGGUGAGUAAUGCAUCGGAACAUGCCCAGUCGUGGGGGAUAACACUUCGAAAGAAGUGCUAAUACCGCAUACGUCCUGAGGGGGAAAGCGGGGGAUCGCAAGACCUCGCGCGAUUGGAGUGGCCGAUGUCAGAUUAGCUAGUUGGUGGGGUAAAGGCCUACCAAGGCGACGAUCUGUAGCUGGUCUGAGAGGAUGAUCAGCCACACUGGGACUGAGACACGGCCCAGACUCCUACGGGAGGCAGCAGUGGGGAAUUUUGGACAAUGGGGGCAACCCUGAUCCAGCCAUUCCGCGUGAGUGAAGAAGGCCUUCGGGUUGUAAAGCUCUUUCGGCAGGAACGAAACGGCGGGCUCUAACAUAGUCCGCUAAUGACGGUACCUGAAGAAGAAGCACCGGCUAACUACGUG